GAUGAACGCUGGCGGCGUGCCUAAUACAUGCAGGUCGAGCGAACGGACGAGAAGCUUGCUUCCCUGAUGUUAGCGGCGGACGGGUGAGUAACACGUGGAUAACCUACCUAUAAGACUGGGAUAACUUCGGGAAACCGGAGCUAAUGCCGGAUAAUAUUUUGAACCGCAUGGUUCAAAAGUGAAAGACGGUCUUGCUGUCACUUAUAGAUGGAUCCGCGCUGCAUUAGCUAGUUGGUAAGGUAACGGCUUACCAAGGCAACGAUGCAUAGCCGACCUGAGAGGGUGAUCGGCCACACUGGAACUGAGACACGGUCCAGACUCCUACGGGAGGCAGCAGUAGGGAAUCUUCCGCAAUGGGCGAAAGCCUGACGGAGCAACGCCGCGUGAGUGAUGAAGGUCUUCGGAUCGUAAAACUCUGUUAUUAGGGAAGAACAUAUGUGUAAGUAACUGUGCACAUCUUGACGGUACCUAAUCAGAAAGCCACGGCUAACUACGUG
RNAcentral lists this ribosomal RNA (497 nucleotides) under uncultured bacterium. RNAcentral's name for it is "partial 16S ribosomal RNA". It matches the Rfam family "Bacterial small subunit ribosomal RNA", at positions 28 to 507 of the family's 1533-position model. The record is from RNAcentral.